ACCAUGGGAGUCGGGAAUGCCCGAAGCCAGUGACCCAAGCGAAAGCAGGGAGCUGUCGAAGGCAGGCCGGAUAACUGGGGUGAAGUCGUAACAAGGUAAC
This 100-nucleotide ribosomal RNA is filed under the name uncultured bacterium. RNAcentral's name for it is "partial 16S ribosomal RNA". It matches the Rfam family "Bacterial small subunit ribosomal RNA", at positions 1401 to 1500 of the family's 1533-position model. The record is from RNAcentral.